CAAUAGCGUAUAUUAAAGUUGUUGCAGUUAGAACGCUCGUAGUCGGAUUUCGGGGCGGGCCGACCGGUCUGCCGAUGGGUACGCACUGGUCGGCGCGUCCUUCCUUCCGGAGACCGUGCCUACUCUUAACUGAGCGGGGGCGGGAGACGGAUCGUUUACUUUGAAAAAAUCAGAGUGUUUCAAGCAGGCAGCUCGCUCUUGCAUGGAUUAGCAUGGGAUAAUGAAAUAGGACUUUGGUGCUAUUUUGUUGGUUUCGAACACCGAAGUAAUGAUUAAAAGGGACAGUCAGGGGCACUCGUAUUCCGCAGAGAGAGGUGAAAUUCUCAGACCCGCGGAAGACGAACCACUGCGAAAGCAUUUGCCAGGGAUGUCUUCACUGA
This 380-nucleotide ribosomal RNA is filed under the name uncultured eukaryote. Its description in RNAcentral is "partial 18S ribosomal RNA". It matches the Rfam family "Eukaryotic small subunit ribosomal RNA", at positions 592 to 976 of the family's 1831-position model. The record is from RNAcentral.